GACGAACCUGACGAACGUUAUUCGGAAUUACUGGGCUUAAAGGGUGCGUAGGCGGCGCGACAAGUUGGGUGUGAAAUCCCUCGGCUCAACCGAGGAACUGCGCUCAAUACUGUCGUGCUCGAGGGAGACAGAGGUGAGCGGAACUUAGGGUGGAGCGGUGAAAUGCGUUGAUAUCCUAAGGAACACCAGUAGCGAAAGCGGCUCACUGGGUCUCUUCUGACGCUGAGGCACGAAAGCUAGGGGAGCAAACAGG
Molecule: ribosomal RNA, 253 nt
Filed under: uncultured bacterium
Lineage: Bacteria
Description: partial 16S ribosomal RNA
Rfam family: Bacterial small subunit ribosomal RNA
Source: RNAcentral